AGGAGUAUAGCCAAGUGGUCGACGGCAACGGACUCCAAAUCCGUCAAGCGUGCGCUUCUCGUGGGUUCGAAUCCUACUGCUCCUG
This 85-nucleotide transfer RNA is filed under the name Caudoviricetes sp. RNAcentral describes it as "tRNA-Trp". It matches the Rfam family "tRNA". Rfam says of the family: Transfer RNA (tRNA) molecules are approximately 80 nucleotides in length. Their secondary structure includes four short double-helical elements and three loops (D, anti-codon, and T loops). Further hydrogen bonds mediate the characteristic L-shaped molecular structure. tRNAs have two regions of fundamental functional importance: the anti-codon, which is responsible for specific mRNA codon recognition, and the 3' end, to which the tRNAs corresponding amino acid is attached (by aminoacyl-tRNA synthetases). tRNAs cope with the degeneracy of the genetic code in two manners: having more than one tRNA (with a specific anti-codon) for a particular amino acid; and 'wobble' base-pairing, i.e. permitting non-standard base-pairing at the 3rd anti-codon position. The record is from RNAcentral. Lineage: Duplodnaviria; Heunggongvirae; Uroviricota; Caudoviricetes.